CCUCGGGGUGCUCCAGUGAGGAAUAUUGCACAAUGGGGGGAACCCUGAUGCAGCAACGCCGCGUGGAGGAUGACGCAUUUCGGUGUGUAAACUCCUUUUAUAUGUCAAGAAAAUGACGGUAGCAUAUGAAUAAGCACCGGCUAACUCCGUGCCAGCAGCCGCGGUAAUACGGAGGGUGCAAGCGUUACUCGGAAUCACUGGGCGUAAAGGACGCGUAGGCGGGUUGGAAAGUCAGGUGUGAAAUCCUACAGCUUAACUGUAGAACUGCACUUGAAGCUUCUAAUCUAGAGUAUGGGAGGGGGAGAUGGAAUUAGUGGUGUAGGGGUAAAAUCCGUAGAUAUCACUAGGAAUACCUAAAGCGAAGGCGAUCUCCUGGAACAUUACUGACGCUAAGGCGUGAAAGCGUGGGGAGCAAACAGGAUUAGAUACCCCUGUAGUC
Molecule: ribosomal RNA, 439 nt
Filed under: uncultured bacterium
Lineage: Bacteria
Description: partial 16S ribosomal RNA
Rfam family: Bacterial small subunit ribosomal RNA
Source: RNAcentral